Mangifera indica (mango) is the source of this 3197-nucleotide long non-coding RNA. RefSeq lists it as uncharacterized. Lineage: Eukaryota; Viridiplantae; Streptophyta; Magnoliopsida; Sapindales; Anacardiaceae. The record is from RefSeq and is a predicted model, not a curated record. The transcript is spliced from 3 exons.
AUCAAAUAACAAUCACCGUCUCAAUCUUCAUUCUAAUCGUUAGCCACAAAACACGCCCCUUAUGUUACGGCAGAGCGCUCUCUCUCUGGGCAGUGAAGAGGCGACACUCCUCUAUAUCUCAGUUCACUUCUCUUCUAAAAGAAAUUUCCCCAUUUUUUCCUUGCCAGAAAGAAAACCUCAUCUCUUCGUCACUGUUGGUUGUCUUUGUGGCUUCAAUCACCGUCUCAAUCUUCAUUCUACCGUCAUUCAACUGUUUUGUAGUUGUAAUGUCGUCUCAAUCGUCAUUUAACUCGCCGAUAAGUAGGUUUGCUUUUGGCUGGAUGGCGAAGGUAUCGAUUUUUAGGGUAUUAAAAAUGAAUGUUUUGUUUGGAUUGGGUAUUCACUAUUUUACGCCCAAAAUGUAAAAUUAUCUACAACCUCUUUGAUUUCUGAAUACUAAUGUUGCUUUCUCUCUGGCAAUGACAGAUGCAUAUAUGCUCAAAUGUAUUAGACUUGACUUGUAAGUGUCAUUGUCUUGCUUUCAUUUCUGCAAGCAUUGAGAAUAGGGGUGGCUUUGUCUCAAACAUGCCAGGUUGUGAACUGUAACCAUCUUUUACCCAGUUCAUUGUUUUAAUAAUCUAUUCAUCUUAAUUUGUCGGAGAAAUUAUUGAAAAGUUCAUUAAAAUAAACUAUAAUCAUGGUUUAAUGUAUACGGAAUUGAUGUUCUAAACAAAUAUAAUUGUUUGGUCAUUCAUUGUUAAUCGGCUGCAUCUAUUAUUAACUCAGUUUCCAGUUUAUUCAACUCUUUAUAUCGGUCAAAUCUAUCUGGAUGGAGAAUAAUUUCAAAUUUUUAAUAUUCCCACUUCCGUUUUCCUAAAAGUCUCUCUUACAUUCAAUGAGUUAUUUGCUUGGCAUUCUGAUAGGAUUAGUUGAUAGGAGAUUUGUGGCAAUACAUUCACUUGAUAAAUACUUCAACAUUAAUACAUUUGUUGUGUUUCACAGUAUGGUUGGGGUGAAAUUUUGGGCUUUUUGAUUAAUAUUUUGGGUUCUGAAGUGAUAAUUUCUCUGUCUUGAGAUAUAGCUUUAUUGUCUUGCAACUUCUUACAUUGAGCAUUAUUUUGCUGUUGUUUUCCCUUCAAUUUCCGACUCUUCCCUGCUUAUGUUGGUGUAAAUUUUGAGUUUAAGAACUAAAAUCCUUGAAAGUCUUCUGAGUGUUAAAUCUGAAGAGAUUGAAGGGGAGUUGCUGCUUUAUGAAUUUUAGUAGAAGAGCCUAAGAAAGAAUCUGGCUUGUUUAAAUUAUAAGGACAACUCUGCAUAGUGUGGAAAUUUAAAUGAAUUUAAGUGAAAAUUCACAUAUGAUCCUCAUUGUCAGAAAGUUUUGAACACAUUACUGUACUUCAAAGUUUUGGUGAUGGAAUGAGAGCUCCUGGAAGACAACAAACCUCUUGUACGAGGUUGAAAUUUCUAGCACUAAUCUGUAGUUUUAAUGAGCAUAACAUUAGCUUAUCACAAAUAUAUUUAUGUAUUCCAUCUGUAACUUGUAGCUACUUUAACAAUAAAUUUGUUAACAUCACUUUCUGCUUCGGAAUUUUUAAGUGGAUAUUUUCCUUCUUGUAAUGGCUAGUUAUUUUGGUUUGUUGAUGAAAAUAUGAAUAAUUUUUGUUCAAUUGAUGACUCAUACUUUUGUUUUUUAAAAAUAAUUUGUAAUGGUUGUAGAGGCUUAUGUAUUUAUUUCCUUUGCCUUUUCACCGUCUUUUCUGUCCAGAUAGUGUAUUUCUGUUUUUGCAAUUACAGAUUAUCAAAUGACACUAUAAGCCUUUCCCUUUUUCGGAUUUUUUUUGUUUGGUAUAGCUUUAAGGUCUAGCUAAUGCAUUCAUAAAGCUGUGGAACCUCUUGGAGACACCUGUCAAUGAGCAAAGAAAAUUUGACCAUGUUACUAGUUUAGCUUCUUCCUCAAUUGAAAAAGUUGUGAGACAAGGAUGCCUUGCUCUAGAUGUUAUCGGGCAAAUAAUCUGAAAGCCAGCAAGAUGAAAGAGUUGGUAUUCAAGAGGCAAAAUGAGCUUAAAGAAAUCUACAGAGGGGUUCAUAAGGAUGUAGAAAGUGAUGCAGCAUGACACAGUAUUCUCAUCAGCUUGAUAUGUUCAGAUUCCUUCUUUCCACAAAAGAUACACUCCAGAAUCCGUGUGUUGACACAACGUUCUCUCUCCGCCCCAGGAAGAGUCAACAGACCGUCAUAUUAUAGGCCAACUAUUUCCCACCCAAUGUUUGAUGAGAUGAUUUCUACUCACUAAAUUUCAAACAUUCAAAAUCCCACCACCCAUCACCCACAUUUGUUAAAAACUGCUGUUUGAUUUUUCUAAAAUGACUACUUUACCCUUUUUCUUUCAGGAUUUUAAUAUUUUAUGAUCUCCAUGUUUUCCAAUAUUUUCAAAACUUGCCUAAGAAACUCAUUGCCUCUCUCCCUAUGCCCAUCUCUCACUGUAACAUCACCACCGAAACAAAAACAUCAACAAAUGCCACCCUCUUUUUCUUUACUCCCAGAUCUCCCUUUCAUGAUUUCUUAGCGAUGCAGCUCAAAAUUUUUCUUAUUUUUUCUGUUGUUAUGGCGAAUCUUCAAAGAUUCAAACUUUUGGUCACCCACUGCAUUGUCGUCAGCAGUCCCACAGAUCCCAACCACUAGUCCAGUUGUCCACCUUCGCCACCGCAAGACUCUUCAGAUGCGACAGAGAAGAAAUGGGCGACCUGUGUGUAAAAUGAUAGAAAUCAAGAGACUGGUGUCUAAGAUCUCUCCAAAGCGUCAAAAAUGUGAAAUAAAAAGAAAUAAAAAAAUAGAGAAAAAAGAAAAAAUCGAAAAAUUUAUAGAAAAUGACUUUUCUAUCCUUUUACUUAACGAAUUUUACUAAUAGAAGUGGAUAAUAAGUGAGAAUUUAAUUUAUUUAAAAUUUAGAAGGUAUGAAUUAUUAUGUCAUCAAACUUAGAUGGGAAAUAGUCUUUUGACCUGUAUUAUAUGGCCAUGAAUGUGUACCAGCAUAAUUGAGCUAGGGUUGAGAGAAGACAUUGAGAACUAUGCUAUAUGGUUUAUUGCAAGAGUAAAAGUAUACAUAUAAAUAAAUUUGUUUAUUUGUAUAGAUUAAUAUGAUAAUUUGUGAUUUUGUAAUAUGAGUAUUUAUUUUUCUUCUCACUUCAAAAUUAACCUAAUCACAAAUUGUUUGAUUGUA